This 404-nucleotide ribosomal RNA is filed under the name uncultured bacterium. Its description in RNAcentral is "bacterial SSU rRNA". It matches the Rfam family "Bacterial small subunit ribosomal RNA", at positions 1090 to 1501 of the family's 1533-position model. The record is from RNAcentral.
CAACGAGCGCAACCCUCGUCACUAGUUACUAACGAUUCGGUCGAGGACUCUAGUGAGACUGCCUUCGUAAGGAGGAGGAAGGUGAGGACGACGUCAAGUCAUCAUGGCCCUUACGGCUAGGGCAACACACGUGCUACAAUGGUUAGGACAAUGAGAAGCAAUAUCGCGAGGUGGAGCAAAUCUAUAAACCUAAUCUCAGUUCGGAUUGUAGUCUGCAACUCGACUACAUGAAGCUGGAAUCACUAGUAAUCGUAGAUCAGCUAUGCUACGGUGAAUACGUUCCCGGGUCUUGUACUCACCGCCCGUCACACCAUGGGAGUUGAUUUCACCCGAAGCGGGGAAGCUAAACUGGCUACCCUCCACGGUGGAAUUAGCGACUGGGGUGAAGUCGUAACAAGGUAACC